UAGUAUCAGCGUGUCAGCCGCCGCGGUAAUACGUAGGGUGCGAGCGUUAAUCGGAAUUACUGGGCGUAAAGCGUGCGCAGGCGGUUCGUUGUGUCGGUGGUGAAAUCCCCGGGCUUAACCUGGGAAUGGCCAUGGAAACUGGCGAACUGGAGUGCGGCAGAGGGGGGUGGAAUUCCGCGUGUAGCAGUGAAAUGCGUAGAGAUGCGGAGGAACACCGAUGGCGAAGGCAGCCCCCUGGGCUAGCACUGACGCUCAGGCACGAAAGCGUGGGGAGCAAACAGGAUUAGAUACCCUGGUAGUCCACGCCCUAAACCAUGUCAACUGGGUGUUCGGGAAGCGAUUUCUGAGUACCGUAGCUAACGCGUGAAGUUGACCGCCCGGGGAGUACGGCCGCAAGGUUAAAACUCAAAGGAAUUGACGGG
This 422-nucleotide ribosomal RNA is filed under the name uncultured bacterium. RNAcentral describes it as "bacterial SSU rRNA". It matches the Rfam family "Bacterial small subunit ribosomal RNA", at positions 495 to 917 of the family's 1533-position model. The record is from RNAcentral.